UCUCCAGUGAGCAAGAAGCAGGAGAGGAGAUGCCUGAUGCGGUUUGAGGGACACCCCACGCACGCUGGCAGAGCAUCUCCGCCAGAUAAGAAAGCGCCCAAGAUGGAGCAAAGAAGACAUGUUCUGGGAGGUGCUGCAGU
This is a long non-coding RNA of Dermochelys coriacea (leatherback sea turtle), 140 nucleotides long. RefSeq lists it as uncharacterized. Lineage: Eukaryota; Metazoa; Chordata; Testudines; Dermochelyidae. The transcript is spliced from 2 exons. The record is from RefSeq and is a predicted model, not a curated record.